GCAUUGAGAGAUCCAGGGUAAAUCAAGGAUUAUCAACAUUUGUUCUUUUAAGCUUCAAGUUUAAGGAUUAUUGAACGAGAAAGUAGUAUCAAAGAAUAUGAAUGCUUGAAUAGCCCCAAAAUGAAGAAAGAUUCACUAUUGAAUAAUAAUUAUAGCUAUGGUCUCUAAGAGGAACAAAGAAAUUAAUAAACCAUCUUCAACUUGGAUUGAAAAACCAUUAUGACAUCUGAUAGCCAAAUUUAGGCUGCAAAAGGGAUGCUUAGUUGUAAAUAAAAUGAAUUUAAUAUCUAAGUCAUGAAAGGAUUAGAAAGAAGAGAAAAUAUGAGAAUUUUUCAUUCCAGCAAUACGUCAAACAAUUGGUGUGCUUCAAGAAAAAAUUUUCAUCAACAAAACUCCUUCCUUGAAAAUCAAGAAAAACAAGAAAGGUUAAAAUCAAAUCAAAAUCUGAAAAUCCAAACUCCAAAAAUUAAAAUGAAGUCUUUUGAAUCGAACAUUUACAUUGAAGAUAACCAAAUCACCAAUAACAACACAGAUCACAACUGGCAAACAGUCAUCUGCAUGAAAAAGUAAUGAAGUAGAAGCCUAUAGAUUCUGUCGCUGUUGUUAAUGGCGGUAAAAUCAAAAUCUAACAUGUUUUGCUCCUUGGAGCAGAAUCUAAAAGAGUGAUAUCGAUGACUUUUUCCUAGGGAGUUGAGGUUCGAUACGGAGGCAGUGCCUAUGUCUUGGGCAUUCCGCUUCUACUUCAUCGGCUGAAGAGAAGGUGAAGGUGCAAGAUAAGUGGAGGAGAGAGGAUGAGGAAAUGAAGUUUGAAGUAGAGGCUUGGGAGGUGAUAUUAGUUGGAGAGAUUAAGGUGGCGGAGGCUUUGAUUAGAGGUUGAUAGGUGGUGGUAAUCGUAGAGGAGUGAUAAGGAUUGGUGGCGGUGGUGAUGGAGGGCUGUAAUAAAUAUGUAUUGAUUUUUGUCCAUGGGCAUAUAUUGUCAUUCAAAAAAAAACCCAUCUCAC
This 1001-nucleotide long non-coding RNA is filed under the name Jatropha curcas. RNAcentral describes it as "long non-coding RNA (JCUR_LNC003070)". Lineage: Eukaryota; Viridiplantae; Streptophyta; Magnoliopsida; Malpighiales; Euphorbiaceae. The record is from RNAcentral.